GAGAAAGGACGGUUAUGCAGCUGGCUUGAAACCAGUAUUAGGGGGUUCGAUUCCUUCCUUUCUUG
This 65-nucleotide transfer RNA is filed under the name Oryctolagus cuniculus (rabbit). It matches the Rfam family "tRNA". Rfam says of the family: Transfer RNA (tRNA) molecules are approximately 80 nucleotides in length. Their secondary structure includes four short double-helical elements and three loops (D, anti-codon, and T loops). Further hydrogen bonds mediate the characteristic L-shaped molecular structure. tRNAs have two regions of fundamental functional importance: the anti-codon, which is responsible for specific mRNA codon recognition, and the 3' end, to which the tRNAs corresponding amino acid is attached (by aminoacyl-tRNA synthetases). tRNAs cope with the degeneracy of the genetic code in two manners: having more than one tRNA (with a specific anti-codon) for a particular amino acid; and 'wobble' base-pairing, i.e. permitting non-standard base-pairing at the 3rd anti-codon position. The record is from Rfam by way of RNAcentral. Lineage: Eukaryota; Metazoa; Chordata; Mammalia; Lagomorpha; Leporidae.